This 2248-nucleotide long non-coding RNA is filed under the name Homo sapiens (human). RNAcentral describes it as "HSALNT0382472". The record is from RNAcentral. Lineage: Eukaryota; Metazoa; Chordata; Mammalia; Primates; Hominidae.
CGGUGAUGGGGACCUGUAAUCCCAGCUACUUGGGAGGCUGAGGAAGGAGAAUCGCUUGAACCUGGGAGGCGGAGGUUGCAGUGAACUGAGUUCGCACCUUUACACACCAGCCUGGGCGACAGAGCGAGACUCCAUCUCACACAAAAAAAAUAAAAUAAAAUUACUCCUUAGGGGCUGAGACCAAGAAACAGUAUCAGAGGCUGAACCCCUCGGCGAUGAGCGUCUGUCCCAGGACUUGGAAGGGAGGGAGGGAGCAUGGCCACGGCAGCUGCCUGCAGUCCCUGUCCCAGCUCUGCCGCCGCCGCUCUGCUGCGUGACUCCAGGAACCCCCAGCCUCGCUGAAUCCACGUCCCCAGAAGAGAAAAGCCUGCCAGGCCUUGGCCUGCCCUGUCUGGGAAUCCUUGAUGGAGCCACCCCGAAACACCCCUAUGGGAACCCCUUUGGUCUUCAUCAUUCUUGGGUGUUUUCCACUGAUGACUGGGGGUGUCCCCAGUGGCAGCUGGGCCUGAGCUGUCAGCCAAGACGGGAGACAAACAAGCCUGUGACUCAGGCAGGGCAUGGCACAGCUGGCGGAAGGAGGCAUGCCUGUUCUUUGUGGCUGGGCGGGGGGUUAUCCGGACACAGGGAGUCUCCAGCUUCCGGCUUUCCCACCUCGGUGCCCCCAGCCCACACCUGCAGCUUGGCCAUGGUUCUUGGGGCCUCCCAAGGCUGCCCCUGCUGGCAAAGGCAUCCUGAUGCACCCGCCCCAGGGUGAGCCAAGGGCAGAGACACCCAGAAACGCCAGGCUGGAAGGUUGGAGAGCCCCUCCUCGCCCCCCGCAACACCAAUAAGCCCUGCCCCACCCUCCAAGCCCUUGGGGUGAGCCCCAUCACUAGUGACUAUAACUGAAUUUCAAUGCAGAAUAUUAUACAAAUUAGUAGUUUAUUUCUUCCUUUAGUAUUACAGUUCCAAAACAUAACUUGAAGGUCAGCACAGGAGCUGCUGUGAUAUAAAAGGAGAGAGUCACCUGGCGCCCCCUGCAGUCCUCCAGUUGCCCAGCAGCGGUGGGACGCUCAGUGGCACACACUGGGUCUCUGUAUGGCCUCCCACCUGCAAGGACUUCCCCGGGCAGGCCCAGCUGCCCAGAAGCCCCGGAACACACAGGAAGACAACACUAUAGGAUGGCAGGUGGGGAUCUGUGCAAUACAAACAUGUAGCUAGAAAACCCAACUGAGGAUCUGUCUAGAAUACUUCCGAUAUCAAUAUACCGUAGUUGUUGAAACCAGAACCGUCUCCAGCCGUCAGCAGUCUUGGCGGCUACUGUACAGCUGUCAGCAUGACUACAGGCAGCACCCGAGGCUAUCUGGGGUAAGAAGUGGGCCUGCACAUCACAUCGGUGAGUCAGUGAGAGUCAGGGCCAGAGGGAAAAGCAACUCGGAGGCUGAGGCUGGCACAGAUACACACAAGGGAGUCACACACAUAACAUAAGAACUUGUUAUAUAAAAUAGAUAUGUGGAAUCUAGAAACACCUUGAGAAAAUAGCCUAUAAAAAUAUAAACUGUAGUGAGAGUGUACAAAAGUAUUAACAGAGGUUCAACCCAUAAAAAACCCCAUCCAUUUAAAAGCUGGCAAUUCGCAGCAGAUGUGGGGAGGGAGCUCCCCUCGGUCCUGGUGCGCGCAUUUGGACAGGCCUUUGGGUUUCCCAGCUGGCAGGGUCCCCCUUGCAGGGGCCACGGGCUGGGUGUUGGGGUGAAGGUUCAGAGGAGGAACAGCAGCUUGGGGCAGCCCCUGUCAGAAGGGCCCCCUGCCAUGGCAGCCAGUGGAGGCCAGGGACCUUCAGGGCACUGGAGGGGACAGAGCAGCUCUUUCCUCAGUGACCCGAGGGAGGGGAAGUGUUAGCGCAAAAGAGUGGGGCCCACAGUCCUGGAAGGAGGAGUUGGCUCCGUCCCGUUCCCAAACUUUAACCAGGCGGAGCCGCCCUCUCUUGCCUUCUGGACACGCAUCACUUGAUUCCAGGCAGGAGAACCUCUGAGAAAGUGUCCCCAGUCCCUUUCCUCCAGGAACUCUCCUGCUGUCGCACACACACACUACCCGGCAGCUGCUGACAACUGCCUGGAAACACUAACAUACCACCGUGGGUUGCAGCCACGACGGGCCCCUGGUCAGGUGCAUCUCUCAGGGCAAACUGGACAACACGAGCCUGUCCCUAAAGGCAGCUCUUAGCCCCAGGACAUGGCAGUGUGUGCUGGCAUGUUCCAGGGGCCAUUGG